Molecule: non-coding RNA, 1223 nt
Organism: Misgurnus anguillicaudatus (oriental weatherfish)
Lineage: Eukaryota; Metazoa; Chordata; Actinopteri; Cypriniformes; Cobitidae
Source: RefSeq, a predicted model, not a curated record
UGUCAUCUGAUUUUCACGUAUAUCCAUUUGGUGUCAAAGCUGUCAAUCACGCCGCAUAUCUUCCGCCUGUGAAGCAUCUCGCAGGUCUCGUAAAGUUUCAUCGAAGCUCAGCACUGGAUAUAGCCGAAUAAACAUGACAAUGACUUUCCUUCAUCGAGGUAAACGUUUCCCCCGGAUGCCAGACGAACAUCUAGGAGUGACUUAAUUACGGUAGGACUGUGCAAACAAAGUAUCUGUCUAGCAUUGGUGUUAUUUACGCUGGGGACAUCCCACCGCUUUUUGAAAGCAUUUGGUUAAAAUGUUCUGAAAAAUCAAGCGAUGCUUAAGACUGGUUUUGUGGUCUAGUUUCACAUAUGUUGUGUUGUAUGUGUAACCCACAGUUCAAAUAGAAACAUAAAUAAUAUUAGUGAAAUAAAUAAUAUAUAUAAUAAUAUAUAAUAUAAUUAAUAAAUAGCAAUAAAUAGAUAAAUACGUUAUUUAGAAACCACACUAUAUAUUAAAAUAUUGAUUUUGUAAAAGUUUUAAUUCUUUUAAUGAUGUUGAACCAUCCCUUUAGUUUAAUAUCACUCUGCCCCUUUAAGACACUUUCACAGUUAUGCACGAGCUGUUUUGUUUUGUUUUUUAACAUUAACGGCAGACGCUAACGGAAAUCGAUAAGAUACACACGGAAUCCAGACACCUUUAACUAAACUCCAAAAUUAGGCUUAUUUAACACUUCUAAUAUUUUGUUCAUCAAAAAUCAACCCUAUAACAUCUUAGCGGUGGUUUUGAGGAGUGUUUUGAAGACGGUUUUGGCCAGGUUUUUUUCCCCUACACGGAAAAGUUUGUGGACAGCUCGACGCCGGAUCGGACCUUUGGAUAAUCAGCGUAUUGCGAGACAGCAUACGAAUGAACAGAUAUUUCAACUGGAUACUAGAUGGCGAGCCAACCCAAGGAUCUCUAACCUGCAAGAACUGAAACACCGCAUUCUGAUCGCUUACACGGUUUGACCUGAACAAAGUGAACCACUGAGCUAUAUUCUUUUAAUCACAUUGGACAUUGACCUUUGAACACAUCGAAUUGGACGGAUCCUCUGAACUGAAAUUCUGAAAUUGCAACACAAUAAUUUAGAUUUAUUGAAUAGAGAAAUUGGUGAAUAGGUGAAUGUAUGAAUGAAAAUUGGUUGAUGUAUUGUAUUUUUUUUUUCUUUUAUGUUUUCUGUUAAAGUGAGACUCCAAAGUGUA